Molecule: transfer RNA, 85 nt
Filed under: Felis catus (domestic cat)
Lineage: Eukaryota; Metazoa; Chordata; Mammalia; Carnivora; Felidae
Rfam family: tRNA
About the family: Transfer RNA (tRNA) molecules are approximately 80 nucleotides in length. Their secondary structure includes four short double-helical elements and three loops (D, anti-codon, and T loops). Further hydrogen bonds mediate the characteristic L-shaped molecular structure. tRNAs have two regions of fundamental functional importance: the anti-codon, which is responsible for specific mRNA codon recognition, and the 3' end, to which the tRNAs corresponding amino acid is attached (by aminoacyl-tRNA synthetases). tRNAs cope with the degeneracy of the genetic code in two manners: having more than one tRNA (with a specific anti-codon) for a particular amino acid; and 'wobble' base-pairing, i.e. permitting non-standard base-pairing at the 3rd anti-codon position.
Source: Rfam by way of RNAcentral
GCCUGAGUGGCUCAGUCGGUUGAGCGUCUGACUUCUGCUCAGGUCAUGAUCUCGCGGUUCGUGAGUUCAAGCCCCGCGUCGGGCU